UCCUUCUAGAAAGCAGUAACAACCUCUUUGUAAUUGACAAGUUGUAGAGCAAUGGAAAUCAAAGGUAGCUUUCAGCCAAGACCAAGAACAUUUUUCAACACCAGACUUUUGUUGCUGCUUGCUCUCCUCAAACAUCUGCCAAGACUCUGUGUUUUUGUGGGGAGGGGGAGAAACUGGCACAUUAAGGAGAAGAGCAAUUCAGAGCACAUGUUGUCUAGCCAGUUUAGAUAAUAUAUUGUUAGUGGGCAUAGAUGAACAGUCAGGAACAAAAGCCAAUAAUUUAAACAUUUUAUGGAUUAUAUAUAUUUUUUAAAAUGAUAAUUCGACUCCAAGUGCAUCAGGGAUUAUUUUAAGCCAAAGGAUUUGUCCAGACAUCACAUUCAGCAAGAAACAAGCACAUUAUAUGUGUAAGUCAGGGCACACUGAAUGUAAAACUAGGACAUUUGCUAUAAUUCCUAUGUAUGCUAUACAACUAGCUCCAUACCUCUGAUCUUAUACAUCUUAAUCUUCCUUUGUAGUGUAUUGUUGCUUGGAAUUGCAACAGAUGCACCGGGGUAAAAGAGAAGAAAGACCACCACAGUAUGACUGGUCAGAAACAUUCCAUGUGCAAAACUGCGCAGGAUUUCAUCACAGUCAUUUUGAGGAUAAUGGAAAGACAGAAUGAAACUUUGCAGAUAGAGUGAAACCACCCAGUGGUUGCUCAGGAUGAACCAGAGGAAGGGGGAGAUGUGAGUGUGAGAUGAAUGUAAUCUUUGUGAGCAUUCUGCCACCGUGGAUGUUUGUCACUGUCAUUGUCAUCAUCAAGCAUGAGUGAUUUGGAAAGCAAUUGCAUCAUACUAGUGGAAUCCAAAAGCAGAAGAGCUGCCUAUAGUUUUUUUUUAAACAGAGGAAGAACCAAAAGAAGAAGAAAAACUCCCUGAAUUGCAGAUGGCAGGAACUGAACCUGAGAUAUUUUCCCUGAAAAUCCUGGCUACAGCUUCUUCCGAGACACGCACCAACAAUUUGGAAUACCAGAGAUUCUUUCAUUGUUCCAGUUAUCUUGUGGGUUGCAACAUGAUAUUCUCCAGAGCCAUUUGUGCUCAUUUUAUUGUGCCAGAUGAAGAGCUGGGAGGAGAAAAUGAGCGGCCAGACUCACCUGCUCUUCCAGAGUGGCCUGAACACAGCUCCCACCAGCAGUAGAAAUUUGCGGGGGAACAGCCCCAUGUACUUUGCUCCCAUGCAGCAAACAGCCUAAGGAGAGUAAAGCACGGAGUUCACCUGACCUGGCUUGGGAUCCAACUCAGUCCAGUCCAACAGAAUGAAAAACAGGUUGAAAAAGACCAGGUAGGUGCACAAGCCAACCAACCUACUCCUCAACUCAAAAAACAUACAAAACCCUCUGCAACUUACAGAA
This is a long non-coding RNA of Python bivittatus (Burmese python), 1393 nucleotides long. RefSeq lists it as uncharacterized. The record is from RefSeq and is a predicted model, not a curated record. NCBI's taxonomy places the organism in Eukaryota, Metazoa, Chordata, Lepidosauria, Squamata, Pythonidae.